This is a non-coding RNA of Malus domestica (apple), 734 nucleotides long. Lineage: Eukaryota; Viridiplantae; Streptophyta; Magnoliopsida; Rosales; Rosaceae. The record is from RefSeq and is a predicted model, not a curated record.
GAUCUUUUGAAUUCGGCUGCUUGAGUAAUUAGGGAUUUGGUUCCUUGGAGUGUCCUUAGGAGUAGCAGAUUGAAUCGAUGAGAUCGAUGGCUUUGCCGUCUGGGAUUCCGAAGUUGUUGCCGGAUUUCCGACGAAUUUCCAGUCCAGUUUGUGCGCGGCCUGUCUUCAGAUCAUAGUGAAGCGAGUUUUAUUCAACUCAGGUACUGUAUUUGAGUUUUAAUUUUGGAUUUUUGUUAAUUUGGACGACACCCUAACAGUUUGGUUUUGCGGUGAGUUGUGGUGCUUUGUCAGGGCUUUCCCAGCUAAAAGGGGAUUUUGCGUUUUGUCUCCUCAGUUGAUAAACCUGAGAUUUGACAGUAGCUAGAACGCCACUGUUACUUUUUGGGAUAUUGAGUCUGUAUGACAUCAAUGAGGAGGACAUUGAUGGUGUCACUGAUCGUUCUCAGCUUUCAACAGUAACACAACCAUCUCCACUCCAGAUGCAGCUACCCAUAUUAGAGUUGCCAAAAGUUUGUUCUUCUCCAUUCUGUUUAUUUGUGAUAUUCAUGUAAUUUCAAAUCCAGCAUAGGGACAUUAGAUGCUAAUAAUUGUGUUGCGUUUAUCUAGAACCUCCAAGGUAUUUAGUGCUCCUGCCUCCACCUUUCUGGAGUUGUUAUUGCAUCUACUUAGUUUGCCUGAGUCGGCAUGAAAUAUCUUAGUUGUAUCUUUAUGAUAUUAAAGCGAGCCUAUUUAUG